Molecule: long non-coding RNA, 2521 nt
Organism: Homo sapiens (human)
Lineage: Eukaryota; Metazoa; Chordata; Mammalia; Primates; Hominidae
Source: Ensembl
GAUCGGGACAUGGUGUUAGGGAAAGGAGAGCUAUGAGAAUGUCUUUGUUGCUGCAUUUGGAUUCUGAGAGGACAUUAGAGUCCAUUGUGGGAGUAAUGAGGUUAAGGACACCUUUGUGUUGAAACCCUGGAAGAAGGUGCUGGCCGGCCUGAGCAGGUGGAAUUCAGGGAAGAAGAGAACAGCCAUUCUGGGUCUUUGCAAGAAACAAGCCAGAAGGCAAGAUCAGGCUUGCCAUUCUUCUGAGAAGGACCCCAGAAUCUCACCUCUCCAGAUGGCCUAAGGAUCAAGAGAGAAGGAUCACACACUCUAUCUCUGGAGCUUUAACACGUGGGCUGCCUUAACUCCAAGAUCUUCUGAGAAAGAGCUCCCAUCAGCACCCUUGGAUACAGCAACUGGCACCACACUCUGAACCGAUUGAGCUUCUCCAGCAAAGAUUAUGUACUGGACCCUCCAAUAUAUAAAUGAUCAUUGAUGUCUUGGAUAUGAAGGAGAUUGUCCAGCAGAGGUGUACAGAAGAAGAGGAUCCAGAACAGAAACUCAGUACCAACAACUUUAGGAUGGGGACGAGGAAGAGGAGAAGACACUGGAGUCUGAGAAGUGUCCACAGAGCUAGAAAUAAGUAAUCAAAGUGUGGUUCCUGCAAGCCAAGGGAAGAGAAUGUUUCAAGGGAGUAGGAUUGGUCAAUGUUUCUGAGAAGCCACAGAAGACAAAGACAGUCACUUAGUAACUGGGAUGGCCCUGGUCAUCUGAUCAGAGCAAUUUCAGUGGAAGCAUCAGGGUAGGAACCACAGAACAGGACAUGGAAGGUAACAAGGAAAGGUAGAGUGUAAGCAAUGUCAUGUCCAUUACUUUCAACCGUCACAUCAAUCCUGCAAGCCAGGUAUUGUUUUCUUCCCUUUGAAAAAUAGGAAAAAGAGAGUUGCCCAAGAUGACACAGCUAAGAUUUAAACACAAGUCUGAGUGGCAGAAAGACAAAGUCCUUUCCACACACCACUGCCUCCCCAAGCACUUAGCCACCUGUGUGUCUCCGCUGACAAUGUUGGAAAUUUCUGAUAACACUGCACUGAGCAGUGGGAUGGGGACACUAUGCAGUAUGCUUGUUUGUUAACAGAGAAAUAAAGUUACAUGGAAAACUGGAAAAAAAAAAACAGCAGCAACUUUGCUCUUCUCUUUGUAGCAAUGUGUGUGUUUGUUUUCGUGGGCCCUGUUCGUGGACUCCUACUGAACAUCUCAGAAUUCUUUGGACUCAGAUACCUCUUUGCUGUAGUGCAAAGAUGCUGACCUGCCAAAAGUGUGUUACAGGCUGUGCCUCUUUGAAGAACCAGCUUGAACUGAUUGUUCUUCAGCUUCUCACAUAAAUUAGAGAACAUGAGGCCCACAGCUUUGCCCAAAGUUGUCAACAGGUUUUAAUUGUCUCUGCUUUUCCGUACACACAGAUGGCUUGGUUAAGCUGCUCUGAGCAGACCUCUACUGUCUCCACUAAGAAAAAUUAGACACAACAAAUGGAAAUCCAUUUAAAAAGAAAAGUUAUAAUAAGGUAAAGUCCUAAGUAACUGUGGCUAUUUUUUAUGAAGGUAAAUGCUAUGAAUAGUAGCCAUGACAGUGCAGAGAUAGAGGCAAAUUAAGAAAAACUGUAACGAAAAUGUGAACUUUUGAAGGCAGGUGCAGAAACUAUCAAGAAAAGUAGAUAGAAGUAUUUGGAAAGGAAAGGAGGUUCUUUUUUUACUGAUGGCAUCUAUAAUAGGCCUUGAAUUUCAAGUUUAUUUUUCCAGGUUCACUCAGAGAAGCUAGAAAUGAUUCAACAAUUAUGCUUACAGGAAUCUGUCCUUCAGAAAUAAUACAAGUGUGUAGAGUUAUUUUAAAAGAUUAUAUUACAACACUGUUUAUAGUAGCAAAAAAUUGGAAGCAAACUAUUAGAUUGGUGCAAAAGUAAUUGCUGUUUUUUGCUAUUGACAGUAAUGGCAAAACCGCAAUUACUUUUGCAUCAACCUAAUAAUUAGUUAAAUGUAGUUUACAUAACAAAACAUUGUACACCUAAAGUUAAUAAUAUGAGCUUAAGUUCGUAGAAGGUCAAAGGGUAUAAGCAUCUUGCAUGUUAAAAGGCAUUGCUACAUUGCACUGUGUAAAGGUUGUACCAAAUUACAUUUCCACCAACAGUAUAUGAAAGAACCUAUGUCUGUACAUUCUAACCAAUGCAGCAUGUAUUACUAAUGUUACAGGUUAAAAAUAGGUAAGUAAAUUAUGCAUCAUUAUCAUUCUAAUUACUAUUUCCUUUAUUAUAAAUACAGUUGAACACCAUUUUGUUUCAUUUGAGAACAAUCAUUUAUAUUUUCUUUACUAUAAGUUACCCCUUCAGGGACAUUUGCAGUGGCUCACGUCUGUAAUUCUAACACUUUGGGAGGGCAAGGCAGGAGGAUCUCUUGAGCCCAGGAGGUCAAGACCAGCCUGGGCAACAUGGUGGAACCCUGUGAAAGGAAGAAGAAACAAAGAGAGAAAGAGAGAAAGACAGAAAGAAAGACAG